Molecule: unclassified non-coding RNA, 350 nt
Filed under: uncultured fungus
Lineage: Eukaryota; Fungi
Description: sequence contains ITS1
Source: RNAcentral
CGGUACCGCUAAAGGUUUUAUCAAUGCACUUAACAUUGCACAGCAAACAGCUAGGGCAGCGGGCCCGGGAGCGGCAUUUGCAUUUCCCUUGCUAUAUGUGACGCAAAUAGCAGCCGUACUUUCUGCAGCUGCAAAGGCAAAAAGUAUAUUAGGAUCAAGCGGAGGUGGUGGAUCUUCUGUUUCAGCACCUGCACCCGCUUCAUUAGCGGCUCCGUUAACUCCACAAAGGCCGCAGCAAACAACUACUCAAUUAGAUCAAGAUUCGCUGAAUGCUAUCGGCAACAGCACCGUACGUGCAUUUUUUCUCGAGUCGGAUUUUGAAGGCAGAGAGAGGAUAGUUCGCUUAAACC